GGUGCGUAACGCGUGGGAAUCUGCCCUUGGGUUCGGAAUAACAGUUGGAAACGACUGCUAAUACCGGAUGAUGUCUUCGGACCAAAGAUUUAUCGCCCAGGGAUGAGCCCGCGUAAGAUUAGCUAGUUGGUGGGGUAAAGGCCUACCAAGGCGACGAUCUUUAGCUGGUCUGAGAGGAUGAUCAGCCACACUGGGACUGAGACACGGCCCAGACUCCUACGGGAGGCAGCAGUGGGGAAUAUUGGACAAUGGGCGAAAGCCUGAUCCAGCAAUGCCGCGUGAGUGAUGAAGGCCUUAGGGUUGUAAAGCUCUUUUACCCGGGAUGAUAAUGACAGUACCGGGAGAAUAAGCCCCGGCUAACUCCGUGCCAGCAGCCGCGGUAAUACGGAGGGGGCUAGCGUUGUUCGGAAUUACUGGGCGUAAAGCGCGCGUAGGCGGUUCUUCAAGUCAGAGGUGAAAGCCCGGUGCUCAACACCGGAAUUGCCUUUGAAACUAGGGAACUUGAAUCCAGGAGAGGUGAGUGGAAUUCCGAGUGUAGAGGUGAAAUUCGUAGAUAUUCGGAAGAACACCAGUGG
Molecule: ribosomal RNA, 575 nt
Filed under: uncultured Alphaproteobacteria bacterium
Lineage: Bacteria; Pseudomonadati; Pseudomonadota; Alphaproteobacteria
Description: bacterial SSU rRNA
Rfam family: Bacterial small subunit ribosomal RNA
Source: RNAcentral